RNAcentral lists this long non-coding RNA (759 nucleotides) under Parus major (Great Tit). RNAcentral describes it as "lncRNA (ENSPMJG00000014733.1)". The record is from RNAcentral. Lineage: Eukaryota; Metazoa; Chordata; Aves; Passeriformes; Paridae.
CACUGCCUGACGCGGCUUGGUAACCCGGCCCACGGCAGCACGGGCAGCCGGAGAACCCGACACUUCUCUAUCAUCAGCCUGGAUGAAGAGAGAGAAGUGCCUGGGUAACCUGGAAGGUGCUGCCUCUCUCUGUCGGAGAGUGGGGACAAUGCAGGAGGUGGCUUUUGCCCUACCUGACAAAGAGGAGGAAAACCAGCUGGGUUCCCAGUCAGGGCUCCAAGCAGAUGUCUGCAUUAUAGGAUAAAAGAGCUAAAUGAAAAUAACUUAUGUACAGUGAAAACUGGACUAUGGCAUCUUCUGUCACAAGUCAUGCAUCUCCUCAGGGUGAAAAGCUUUUCACAUCACAAGACACUUGUUUGAUUGUGACUUACCAUUUCCAGACAGCAAUGCUUCUUGUGCACCAGCUGCCAUCUGCGGUAUCAAGAGGAGUCACUGGGCUCUCCAAUGGUUAUACUGAUGUUUAGUCUCAGACUGAGUCGAGGAUCAGGCCAAGGCUGCUUCAGGGACCCAGGAAGCAUAAUUUCUGGCUCCCACACAGCCUUCACCUGCAAAGCUCUGAGCAGAGUCCAAAAUAUAUUUUGCAUACAAAUUAAUGAGAUACAUUUAUAGCACCCCUUAGACAGCUUUAUUCUGUUAGUGCUUACCUUUAUUACUGUGUAACAUACUCAGCUCUCAUUGUCAUAAAUUGUGCUCUACUUUUGAAGGGGGAGAAUAAUUCCAUAUAAAAGAUAAAUAAAUAUGAGGAGCAAAAUGUUGUCA